CUUUCAUGCAAUGGAAGAAAUUUAUGUCAAUACUGAACAUCUCAAAUGUGUCAACCCAACACAUUCAACAAAUCACACAGGUCAAAGGAGUUUCUAUUUGGUUAUUAUUUUGUGUCUGAGCCUGCUGAGUGUCUUCCUGUUGGCUGGACUUGUCACUCUUGGUUUCUUCUAUCAUGAUUCAAGGAAACUUCUGUCUGCUAUGAAUAACCGAC
Non-coding RNA from Maylandia zebra (zebra mbuna), 212 nucleotides. The record is from RefSeq and is a predicted model, not a curated record. NCBI's taxonomy places the organism in Eukaryota, Metazoa, Chordata, Actinopteri, Cichliformes, Cichlidae.